Molecule: ribosomal RNA, 1085 nt
Filed under: Leptobrachella ventripunctata (speckle-bellied metacarpal-tubercled toad)
Lineage: Eukaryota; Metazoa; Chordata; Amphibia; Anura; Megophryidae
Description: partial large subunit ribosomal RNA
Rfam family: Bacterial large subunit ribosomal RNA
Source: RNAcentral
CCAAACGAAGCCUAGUGAUAGCUGGUUGCUCAGGAAAAGAAUUUUAGUUCCCUCUUAAGAACCUCAUAGCAAAAUUAAGCAAAUAAAAUUCUUAAGACUUAUUCAAUGAGGGUACAGCCUUAUUGAAACAGGAAACAGCCUCAACUUUAGGUUAAUGACUAAAUUCUCUCUACUGCAGGGUCAAGUCGGCUUAAAAGCAGCCAUCUUUUAAAAAGCGUCCAAGCUUUACCCUAAUUACACCCUUAAAUUCAAUUAUUUACUCAAAAUCCAUCAUUAUUACUGAGCCGUUCUAUAAUAAUAUAGAAGUGAUUAUGUUAGAACUAGUAACACAGAAAUUUUUUCUCUUACAUGCAAACAUAAAUCAGAUCGAAUACAUCACUGACAAUUACUCAGCAUGAGCCUAAUGUAACAACUGUUCUAGAAAACCUUACUAUAAAUUCUGUUAACCUGACACAAGUGCAUGAAAAAAAGAUUAUAAGGCUAGGAAGGAACUCGGCAAAUACUAGUCCCGCCUGUUUACCAAAAACAUCGCCUUUUGAAUAUUAUAAAAGGUACCGCCUGCCCAGUGACUAUGUGUUCAACGGCCGCGGUAUACUGACCGUGCAAAGGUAGCGUAAUCAUUUGUCUUUUAAUUGAAGACUAGUAUGAAUGGCAUCACGAGGACUAAUCUGUCUCCCUCCCCCAAUCAGUGAAACUGAUCUCCCCGUGCAGAAGCGGGGAUAAUAUCAUAAGACGAGAAGACCCUGUGGAGCUUCAAAUCAAUAAUCAACUGCUUCGCCCACCCAAUAAAGGAUACACUCACGCAAACUUGAUUUAGAUUUUCAGCUGGGGCGUCUAUGGAGAAAAAAAAAUCCUCCAUGAAAAUUCAUGCUAAAAGCUACCGCCAUAGGCAUUAAUAUACUUAACUUUAAUUGACCCAAUUUUUGAUCAACGGACCAAGUUACCCCAGGGAUAACAGCGCAAUCCACUUAAAGAGUCCUUAUCGACAAGUGGGCUUACGACCUCGAUGUUGGAUCAGGGCAUCCAAGUGGUGCAGCCGCUACUAAAGGUUCGUUUGUUCAACGAUUAAAGCCCUACGUGAUCUG